UACGUAGGGUGCAAGCGUUGUCCGGAAUUAUUGGGCGUAAAGAGCUCGUAGGCGGUUUGUCGCGUCUGCUGUGAAAACCUGAGGCUCAACCUCGGGCUUGCAGUGGGUACGGGCAGACUAGAGUGCGGUAGGGGUGACUGGAAUUCCUGGUGUAGCGGUGGAAUGCGCAGAUAUCAGGAGGAACACCGAUGGCGAAGGCAGGUCACUGGGCCGCAACUGACGCUGAGGAGCGAAAGCGUGGGGAG
This 245-nucleotide ribosomal RNA is filed under the name uncultured bacterium. RNAcentral's name for it is "partial 16S ribosomal RNA". It matches the Rfam family "Bacterial small subunit ribosomal RNA", at positions 524 to 768 of the family's 1533-position model. The record is from RNAcentral.